AGUGAACGCUGGCGGUAGGCCUAACACAUGCAAGUCGAACGGCGGCACAGUAAGAGCUUGCUCUUACGGGUGGCGAGUGGCGGACGGGUGAGGAGUACAUCGGAAUCUACUUUUUCGUGGGGGAUAACGUAGGGAAACUUACGCUAAUACCGCAUACGACCUACGGGUGAAAGCAGGGGAUCUUCGGACCUUGCGCGAUUGAAUGAGCCGAUGUCGGAUUAGCUAGUUGGCGGGGUAAAGGCCCACCAAGGCGACGAUCCGUAGCUGGUCUGAGAGGAUGAUCAGCCACACUGGAACUGAGACACGGUCCAGACUCCUACGGGAGGCAGCAGUGGGGAAUAUUGGACAAUGGGCGCAAGCCUGAUCCAGCCAUACCGCGUGGGUGAAGAAGGCCUUCGGGUUGUAAAGCCCUUUUGUUGGGAAAGAAAAGCAGCAGGUUAAUACCCCGCUGUUCUGACGGUACCCAAAGAAUAAGCACCGGCUAACUUCGUG
Molecule: ribosomal RNA, 492 nt
Filed under: uncultured bacterium
Lineage: Bacteria
Description: partial 16S ribosomal RNA
Rfam family: Bacterial small subunit ribosomal RNA
Source: RNAcentral